This 497-nucleotide ribosomal RNA is filed under the name uncultured bacterium. RNAcentral describes it as "partial 16S ribosomal RNA". It matches the Rfam family "Bacterial small subunit ribosomal RNA", at positions 28 to 507 of the family's 1533-position model. The record is from RNAcentral.
GAUGAACGCUGGCGGCGUGCCUAAUACAUGCAAGUCGAGCGAACAGACGAGGAGCUUGCUCCUCUGACGUUAGCGGCGGACGGGUGAGUAACACGUGGAUAACCUACCUAUAAGACUGGGAUAACUUCGGGAAACCGGAGCUAAUACCGGAUAAUAUAUUGAACCGCAUGGUUCAAUAGUGAAAGACGGUUUUGCUGUCACUUAUAGAUGGAUCCGCGCCGCAUUAGCUAGUUGGUAAGGUAACGGCUUACCAAGGCGACGAUGCGUAGCCGACCUGAGAGAGUGAUAGGCCACACUAGAGCGUGACCACGGACCAGACUCCUGCGGGACGCAGCAGUAGGGAACCUGACGCAGUAGGCGAAAGCCUGGCGGAGCGACGCCGAGUGAGUGAUGAAGGUCUUCGGAGCGUAAAACUCUGUUAUGAGGGAAAAACAGAUGUGGAAGGAGCUGUGCACGGCGUGACGGUACCUGAUCAGAAAGCAACGGCUAACUACGUG